RNAcentral lists this ribosomal RNA (237 nucleotides) under Triticum aestivum (bread wheat). Its description in RNAcentral is "partial small subunit ribosomal RNA". The record is from RNAcentral. Lineage: Eukaryota; Viridiplantae; Streptophyta; Magnoliopsida; Poales; Poaceae.
AUGAGAACGAGGGCACUGACGAUCAUGGCCAGUCCCAUGACACCAUGCCUCACCCACCACUUUCGGUGGCUUUCUGCUGCCCCUGCGUGGGGAGCUCAACAUGGAGGGACUCGCCAUGGAUCGAGCAUCGCUCUGGAGUCUAGACGCGGCUGCCCACUGCCCUGCAAGUUGACUGUUCCAACGCCCACCAAGUGUUUGACGGUGCUCCAUGGAAUCUUCGAACAGAUCAAUGGAUAA